UGGGGAAUAUUGGACAAUGGGCGCAAGCCUGAUCCAGCCAUGCCGCGUGUGUGAAGAAGGCCUUAGGGUUGUAAAGCACUUUCAGUGGGGAGGAAGGGUGUUGUGUUAAUAGCACAGCAUUUUGACGUUACCCACAGAAGAAGCACCGGCUAACUCCGUGCCAGCAGCCGCGGUAAUACGGAGGGUGCAAGCGUUAAUCGGAAUUACUGGGCGUAAAGCGCACGCAGGCGGCUUUUUAAGUCGGAUGUGAAAGCCCCGGGCUCAACCUGGGAAUUGCAUUUGAUACUGGGAAGCUAGAGUAUGUGAGAGGGGGGUAGAAUUCCAAGUGUAGCGGUGAAAUGCGUAGAGAUUUGGAGGGAUACCAGUGGCGAAGGCGGCCCCCCUGGCACAAUACUGACGCUCAGGUGCGAAAGCGUGGGGAGCAAAACAGGAUUAGAUACCCUGGUAGUCCACGCCGUAAACGAUGUCUACUAGAUGUUCGUGGUCUUGUACCGUGAGUAUCGCAGCUAACGCAUUAAGUAGACCGCCUGGGGAGUACGGUCGCAAGAUUAAAACUCAAAUG
RNAcentral lists this ribosomal RNA (562 nucleotides) under uncultured bacterium. RNAcentral's name for it is "partial 16S ribosomal RNA". It matches the Rfam family "Bacterial small subunit ribosomal RNA", at positions 355 to 907 of the family's 1533-position model. The record is from RNAcentral.